This 428-nucleotide ribosomal RNA is filed under the name uncultured bacterium. RNAcentral's name for it is "bacterial SSU rRNA". It matches the Rfam family "Bacterial small subunit ribosomal RNA", at positions 355 to 775 of the family's 1533-position model. The record is from RNAcentral.
UGGGGAAUAUUGGACAAUGGGCGCAAGCCUGAUCCAGCCAUGCCGCGUGAGUGAAGAAGGCCUUCGGGUUGUAAAGCUCUUUUGUCCGGAAAGAAAAGCUCUCGGUUAAUACCCGGGGGUUCUGACGGUACCGGAAGAAUAAGCACCGGCUAACUUCGUGCCAGCAGCCGCGGUAAUACGAAGGGUGCAAGCGUUACUCGGAAUUACUGGGCGUAAAGCGUGCGUAGGUGGUUCGUUAAGUCUGAUGUGAAAGCCCUGGGCUCAACCUGGGAAUGGCAUUGGAUACUGGCGAUCUAGAGUGCGGUAGAGGGCAGUGGAAUUCCCGGUGUAGCAGUGAAAUGCGUAGAGAUCGGGAGGAACAUCUGUGGCGAAGGCGACUGCCUGGACCAGCACUGACACUGAGGCACGAAAGCGUGGGGAGCAAACAG